This 74-nucleotide transfer RNA is filed under the name Elseya novaeguineae (New Guinea snapping turtle). RNAcentral describes it as "tRNA-Asn". It matches the Rfam family "tRNA". Rfam says of the family: Transfer RNA (tRNA) molecules are approximately 80 nucleotides in length. The record is from RNAcentral. Lineage: Eukaryota; Metazoa; Chordata; Testudines; Chelidae.
UAGAUAAAAGCCUGAUGGAUAAGGUGUUUAGCUGUUAACUAAAAUGUUCAUGGGAUAAAAGCCCAUUUAUCUAG